Molecule: long non-coding RNA, 1863 nt
Organism: Callithrix jacchus (white-tufted-ear marmoset)
Lineage: Eukaryota; Metazoa; Chordata; Mammalia; Primates; Cebidae
Source: RefSeq, a predicted model, not a curated record
UCAGUCACUCAGAGCUCACCUAGAUACCAUGGCUGCCAUGUUGAAAAACUUAAGAGAGUUCAAACUGAAGACUAGAUUAGGAGCAGCAAAUUUUUUUUCUGGGAAAAGCUAGAUUGUCAAUAUUUCCAUCUUUGUGGGCUAUACUAUCUCUGUUGCAACUACUCAACUCUGCCGCAUAAAAGCAACCAUAGACAAAUAUGUAAUAAUGAAUUUGUUCCAACAAAAUCCUAUUACAGAAACAGGCUGCGUUUGUCCCAUGGGCUAUAGUUUGCUGAGCCCUGUCCUAGGUGAAGAGUACUCCUGGGAGUUGAGAAGUGCACUACACAGCAUGUACGGUCCUUUCUAGUAGCCCCGUCUGGCUGUAUACCUUUGUGGACACAAAUUAGGAUAAAUUUCAUAGCCCUUCACAGCUCGAGUUUUCAUUAAUUGUGAACUAAAAUACACAGUCAUGAAAUAUUUCAAAAGUAUGUGUUACUGAAUUAAAGUGAACACAUGAGUUUAUGUCCGUGAAUCCAUUUCUCCUGCUGAGAUUUAUUAAGAAAAUAAAGCUAGGUUUGUGUUUAUGAGAAUUAAUGCAAUGCUACACUUAGAGCAUUUGCAAGUACUUUAAAAAUGCUGUCACUUUUUAAAAAUUUUUGUUUUCUUUUACUGAUGAGGAAGUUCAUAGUAAUUAAUCCGCAAAGCCAGGAAGUGAACAAGAUCAUUGGACUCCAUAACUUGUGCCUCUCCUACAGCACCUGCUGCCUCAAAAGAAGGAGCUACUACCUACAGAAUCUGAACCCACAGAGGUUAAAAGAGUUUGAUAAAAUCCCACCUUGUCAGCAGCAGACAGAAUGAACACAAUUCUACCACCUGGAUGGAAAUGCAGCCACAGAGGUGUUGAUAAAGCUGUCACAGCAAGAUGGAGAUGGUCAUUGUGCUUUGAUGCCUGCCUCCAUAACCCUGUCCUGGAUCCAAUCAACCAGCUUUGAGAACCACCCUGAAGACACAGACAAGAGCACCUCAGAUAAAGAAACUAAGGCACAGGAAAGUUAAGAGACUUGCCCAGGGUCACACAGCUAGCAAGUGAAUGAACUUGGAUUCCAGGAUGAGUGAUCAAGAACCAGAUCGACUUCUUAACUGUACAAGAUAGGAAGUUCAUCUGGAUUUACGAUUCUGAUCCUGCUGAGGGCCAACUGCUGGCAGGAAUGACAUGAGGGGCCAUGGAGGUUUGAGGUGGAGGUGGGGGUGGAGGUGGAGGCUUACAGAUACAGAUCAAGCCUGGAACUUACAAGUAAAAGAGCCAGUAACCAAUGCCAAGAGGCAGAGAAGGCAGUGGUUAGUAACGUGGACUGAACUUGAAGCCUGGGCUUGAAUUCUAGCUUUGCCAUCUAGCAGUCAUGAAACCUUGGGCAAAUGAUUUCAUCUCCUUCUGCCUCAAUUUCCUCCUCUAUAACAUGGGGAUAUACUACUACCUAUCUCGUAGAGUUGCUGCAAUAAUUACAUGUGUCUACUUUCAUAAAGCAUUGAGUACAGAACCUGUCAUAAGGUGAAUACUAAAUAAAAUGAAUCCAUUAGAGGAAAGAGUUGCAACUUUUCGUGUCUUAGCGGGAAGUUGGGGAAGCAGUGACCCAACUGGGGAAUUCCAUGCUUGUUUUGCCUUUAACAAAGGAAACUAAAUCCUUGGUUGAAAACAAAACAAAACUGGUGGCUGGUGUCACACUGAAACUUACAUAUAUGCUUUGAGCCACUUGCCUAUGCAAGCCCACCACCAGUUCCUGCCUCACUUCUCUCCCCUUCUCAUCCACAUGUCAGGAGAGAGGGGCUGCAGGUCCGCAUGCCUUGAGCUGCCUACCUAGUGAUAUUUAAUUAAUCUAUUCAUUU